This is a long non-coding RNA of Salvelinus sp. IW2-2015, 447 nucleotides long. RefSeq lists it as uncharacterized. The record is from RefSeq and is a predicted model, not a curated record. Lineage: Eukaryota; Metazoa; Chordata; Actinopteri; Salmoniformes; Salmonidae.
UUCCUCGCCCAUUGCCCUGCAGUCAUCAGAAGUGUCCACUUAAUUUGAGGGCAUAUGGUGUGUCUUUUAAGUGUUUGGACUGCACCCAUGAACAUAAGCACAGGAACCAGUUUGGCCUGAGGAAAAGCGAAAGUAAAAGUGUUUCGGUCAGACUUCUUGUCCUCGGAUGAUGYUGGUUUAGAUAUUGUUUAAUGAAGGGAUAGUUGUUUUUUAUGACUGUCAUACAUUGAUGCAGAUAUAAAUCAGCUAUUUUGAUCAGCUACUGACUUUCCUGGGUAAAUAUAAAUACAAAUCUGAAGUGGAAGACCAUUAAAGGCAAAAUGGCAGAGUCCAGUGUUCAUAGUAAUCCAAGGAUAAGAAAAUUCUUCACUGUUGUCAGUGGCAAUACCUUGGAUUCUCAUAAGGACUUUUUGGAACAACUCACCAAGCAACAAGACUUUACUCAAG